Molecule: long non-coding RNA, 440 nt
Filed under: Gossypium raimondii (Peruvian cotton)
Lineage: Eukaryota; Viridiplantae; Streptophyta; Magnoliopsida; Malvales; Malvaceae
Description: long non-coding RNA (GRAI_LNC006269)
Source: RNAcentral
AAUCGACAGAACAAAAAGAAUAAAAUAAAAGAGAAAGAUGGAGAGGGAAAAAAUAAAGGAAACUUUCGGCAGGAGAGAAUGAACAAAGAAAUUCAACUUUAGCAAAAUUGGGGAAGAAAAAACAAAGUUUUGAAAAAAAAAUCUAAUCCUAUCACAAUCCCUUAAUUUCUCCUAAUUUUACUCCUUAAAUCUCUCUACAUGACUCCCCACUCAAUUCAAACACCCUAAACCAUCUACAACCUCCCACACAUCUCAAACACUCAGUAUUUUACCACAUUCCAAACUCCUUCACAGCACAAGAACAAAAAAAAAACAUCUCCCUUGCACGUAUAGGGAUUCAAACUCAAGACCCCAGCACACUGACACUCCACUUAACCACCAGACCAGUAGGCCCAUUCUGACAUAUUUUACCAACAUAUAUUUAUAAGCCUACUGAUUAG